This 460-nucleotide ribosomal RNA is filed under the name uncultured bacterium. RNAcentral's name for it is "partial 16S ribosomal RNA". It matches the Rfam family "Bacterial small subunit ribosomal RNA", at positions 338 to 795 of the family's 1533-position model. The record is from RNAcentral.
CCUACGGGUGGCAGCAGUGAGGAAUAUUGGUCAAUGGGCGCGAGCCUGAACCAGCCAAGUAGCGUGAAGGAUGACUGCCCUACGGGUUGUAAACUUCGUUUAUAAGGGCAUAAAGUGAGGCACGUGUGCCUUUUUAUAUGUACUUUAUGAAUAAGGAUCGGCUCACUCCUUGCCAGCAGCCGCGGUAAUACGGAGGAUCCGAGCGUUAACCGGAUUUAUUGGGUUUAAAGGGAGCGUAGAUGGGUUGUUAAGUCAGUUGUGAAAGUUUGCGGCUCAACCGUAAAAGUGCAAUUGAUACUGGCAGCCUUGAGUACAGGUGAGGUAGGCGGAAUGCGUGGUGUAGCGGUGAAAUGCUUAGAUAUUACGAAGAACUCCGAUUGCGAAGGCAGCUUACUAAACUGCCACUGACAUUGAUGCUCGAAAGUGUGGGUAUCAAACAGGAUUAGAUACCCUUGUAGUC